This 376-nucleotide RNase P RNA is filed under the name Demequina sp. B12. RNAcentral describes it as "RNase P RNA component class A". It matches the Rfam family "Bacterial RNase P class A". Rfam says of the family: Ribonuclease P (RNase P) is a ubiquitous endoribonuclease, found in archaea, bacteria and eukarya as well as chloroplasts and mitochondria. Its best characterised activity is the generation of mature 5'-ends of tRNAs by cleaving the 5'-leader elements of precursor-tRNAs. Cellular RNase Ps are ribonucleoproteins. The record is from RNAcentral. Lineage: Bacteria; Bacillati; Actinomycetota; Actinomycetes; Micrococcales; Demequinaceae.
UGAGUUGGCCAGGCGGUCGCGUGAUCGAAAGAUCCCGAGGAACGUCCGGGCUCCGCAGGGCAAGGUGAUGGCUAACGGCCACCCGGGGUGACCCGCGGGAAAGUGCCACAGAAAGCAAACCGCCGCCAGCCUCGCGGCUGGUGGUAAGGGUGAAAGGGUGAGGUAAGAGCUCACCGCGUUUCCGGUGACGGGAACGGCACGGUAAACCCCACCUGGAGCAAGACCAGACAGGGAACGAUUGAGGGCGGCCCGCCCGAGUUCCCGGGUAGGUUGCUGGAGCCCUGGAGCAAUCCAGGGCCUAGAUGGAUGACCGCCCGGUGCGCAGGCAGCAAUGCGGCGCACAGGACAGAACCCGGCGUACCGGCCAACUCAUCCG